Molecule: non-coding RNA, 78 nt
Filed under: Kamptonema sp. PCC 6506
Lineage: Bacteria; Bacillati; Cyanobacteriota; Cyanophyceae; Oscillatoriales; Microcoleaceae
Source: RNAcentral
AGGAGCCGGAUGAUGCGAAAGUAUCACGUCCGGUUCUGAAGGAGAGGUAGGAGUGGCAACGCUCCUAUCGACUCUAAC